UAACAUUGGUAGAAUAGAUCACAGUAAAAUAGCAUUGAAAAUAAUUCAUUAAAAACAAAUAUGAGAAUAAAAAACACAACACCGAACAUAAAGAACUAAUUUAAGCAAGAUAGACCAUAUUUGAUGUAAUGGUGUCGAAAAAUAGAAACAAUUCCACCACCGAAGUUUCUUUCCACCAACAAACAAAUCUGGCCAUGCACACUAAGUGCAAAUUCCAUCACGACAUUUGUUGCCCGGCAGAUCUCAAUGAUGAGGAGGAGUUGCAUGAUUCGAAGGCAUUCAAUGACAGUCAUGGCAUUCGUCGCUACGGCGGAUCUCGACAGCAAGGAGGAGUUGCACGUUUUGAAGGCGUCUGAUGUCAACAAGGACAAUUCCAAUGACGGGAAUGAUGGACCUUGAUGAUGAAAGAAGAAAUGAAGAGAGAGAACAAGGACAAUAAAGUAAAAAGCUGUAUUCCUCUGCAAAUUUUCUCAUUUGAGAGGAAGAUGAAACCAUUGGGUCUCACGUGACUUUCAAAAGUUUCUUCACUACCUCUGCCCAACCAAAUCACGAAGUCCAUUGAAUUCUCCGCUCAUUCGCGCGUCUCCUGUUGAGAAUUUUG
This 601-nucleotide long non-coding RNA is filed under the name Glycine max (soybean). Its description in RNAcentral is "long non-coding RNA (GMAX_LNC001577)". Lineage: Eukaryota; Viridiplantae; Streptophyta; Magnoliopsida; Fabales; Fabaceae. The record is from RNAcentral.